Molecule: ribosomal RNA, 474 nt
Filed under: uncultured Pelotomaculum sp.
Lineage: Bacteria; Bacillati; Bacillota; Clostridia; Eubacteriales; Desulfotomaculaceae
Description: bacterial SSU rRNA
Rfam family: Bacterial small subunit ribosomal RNA
Source: RNAcentral
UUGACGGGGCCCGCACAAGCGGUGGAGCAUUGUGGUUUAAUUCGACGCAACGCGAAGAACCUUACCAGGGCUUGACAUCCCCUGACCGCGUAUGAAAGUACGUUUUCACCCUCGGGUGACAGGGAGACAGGUGGUGCAUGGUUGUCGUCAGCUCGUGUCGUGAGAUGUUGGGUUAAGUCCCGCAACGAGCGCAACCCCUACGUUUAGUUGCUAACGCGUGAAGGCGAGCACUCUAGACGAACUGCCGUUGACAAAACGGAGGAAGGUGGGAUGACGUCAAAUCAUCAUGCCCCUUAUGUUCUGGGCUACACACGUGCUACAAUGGCCGGUACAGACGGACGCAAAGCCGCGAGGUGGAGCAAAUCCUAAAAAGCCGGUCUCAGUUCGGAUUGCAGGCUGCAAUUCGCCUGCAUGAAGUCGGAAUCGCUAGUAAUCGCAGGUCAGCAUACUGCGGUGAAUACGUUCCCGGGCCUU